Molecule: ribosomal RNA, 468 nt
Filed under: uncultured bacterium
Lineage: Bacteria
Description: partial 16S ribosomal RNA
Rfam family: Bacterial small subunit ribosomal RNA
Source: RNAcentral
GACGAACGCUGGCGGCGUGCCUAACACAUGCAAGUCGAACGGAAAGGCCCUGCUUUUGUGGGGUGCUCGAGUGGCGAACGGGUGAGUAACACGUGGGUAACCUGCCCUUGACUUUGGGAUAACUUCAGGAAACUGGGGCUAAUACCGGAUAGGAGCUCCUGCUGCAUGGUGGGGGUUGGAAAGUUUCGGCGGUUGGGGAUGGACUCGCGGCUUAUCAGCUUGUUGGUGGGGUAGUGGCUUACCAAGGCUUUGACGGGUAGCCGGCCUGAGAGGGUGACCGGCCACAUUGGGACUGAGAUACGGCCCAGACUCCUACGGGAGGCAGCAGUGGGGAAUAUUGCACAAUGGGCGGAAGCCUGAUGCAGCAACGCCGCGUGCGGGAUGACGGCCUUCGGGUUGUAAACCGCUUUCGCCUGUGACGAAGCGUGGGUGACGGUAAUGGGUAAAGAAGCACCGGCUAACUACGUG